CUACGGGCCGCUGCAGUGAGGAAUAUUGCACAAUGGGGGAAACCCUGAUGCAGCAACGCCGCGUGGAGGAUGACGCAUUUCGGUGUGUAAACUCCUUUUAUGAGUCAAGAAAAUGACGGUAGCUCAUGAAUAAGCACCGGCUAACUCCGUGCCAGCAGCCGCGGUAAUACGGAGGGUGCAAGCGUUACUCGGAAUCACUGGGCGUAAAGGACGCGUAGGCGGGUUGUCAAGUCAGGUGUGAAAUCCUACAGCUUAACUGUAGAACUGCACUUGAAACUGGCAACCUAGAGUAUGGGAGGGGGAGAUGGAAUUAGUGGUGUAGGGGUAAAAUCCGUAGAUAUCACUAGGAAUACCGAAAGCGAAGGCGAUCUCCUGGAACAUUACUGACGCUAAGGCGUGAAAGCGUGGGGAGCAAACAGGAUUAGAUACCCUUGUAGUC
Molecule: ribosomal RNA, 439 nt
Filed under: uncultured bacterium
Lineage: Bacteria
Description: partial 16S ribosomal RNA
Rfam family: Bacterial small subunit ribosomal RNA
Source: RNAcentral